GACGAACGCUGGCGGCGUGCUUAACACAUGCAAGUCGUACGGUAAGGCCCUUUCGGGGGUACACGAGUGGCGAACGGGUGAGUAACACGUGAGUAACCUUCCCACAACUUUGGGAUAACGCUAGGAAACUGGUGCUAAUACUGGAUAUGUGCCCCUGCUGCAUGGUGGGGGUUGUAAAGCUCCGGCGGUUUUGGAUGGACUCGCGUCCUAUCAGCUUGUUGGUGGGGUAGUGGCCUACCAAGGCGGCGACGGGUAGCCGGCCUGAGAGAGUGACCGGCCACAUUGGGACUGAGAGACGGCACAGACUCCGAAGGGAGGCAGAAGUGGGGAAUAUUGCACAAUGGGCGCAAGCCUGAUGAAGCAACGCCGCGUGCGGGAUGACGGCUUUAGGGUUGUAAACCGCUUUCAGCAGGGAAGAAGCUUUUUGUGACGGUACCUGCAGAAGAAGCACCGGCUAACUACGUG
Molecule: ribosomal RNA, 465 nt
Filed under: uncultured bacterium
Lineage: Bacteria
Description: partial 16S ribosomal RNA
Rfam family: Bacterial small subunit ribosomal RNA
Source: RNAcentral